GGACCGUUAGCUCAGUCGGUGAGAGCAGCAGACUCAUAAUCUGAAGGUCCACGGUUCAAGCCCGUGACGGUCCA
This 74-nucleotide transfer RNA is filed under the name Caudoviricetes sp. RNAcentral's name for it is "tRNA-Met". It matches the Rfam family "tRNA". Rfam says of the family: Transfer RNA (tRNA) molecules are approximately 80 nucleotides in length. Their secondary structure includes four short double-helical elements and three loops (D, anti-codon, and T loops). The record is from RNAcentral. Lineage: Duplodnaviria; Heunggongvirae; Uroviricota; Caudoviricetes.